AAUAUAUUUUAUCAUAGUAUAUUAGAAUUAGUUUUAAUUUUAGAUUAUAUGUAAAUUUUUGUGUGUUAAUUAUUAUCUAAAUGAUUAUUAUUAUUAUUUGCAGUUUUUAUUUUUAUUAAAUUAAGUGAUUAAGAUUUAGUAAAAAUUAAUUUGGGUUGUAAAAAGUUGUGCCAGCAUAUGCGGUUAUACUUCUAUCUCUAAUUAAUUUUUUUGUAUUAAUAUAUAUUUUUGUUUUUUGAUUAUUGAAAUUAUUUUAUUAGGUGAAAUUUUAAAUUAUAAAACUUUUUGGUUAUAAUAUAUGUUAAAGUAAAUUUUGUAAACUAGGAUUAGAUACCCUAUUAUUUUUAUUAUAAUUAUAAUUCUUGUUAUUAAAAGUUAUGGUCUUGAAAUCAAAAGGAUUUGGCGGUAAUUAAACUUUUCAGAGGAACCUGUUUUGGGAGAUUGAUAAUCCACGUUUGGUUUUACUUUAAUAAUUAACUUGUAUACCUCUGUCAUUGAAUGUCUUAUUAGGGUAUUUUCUUUAAUUUUUAUAAUGUUAAUGUCAAGUCAAGGUGCAGUUUAUUUAAGUUGAAAUGGGUUACAUUUAAUUUAUUUAUAGGAUUGAAAAUUUUUAUUUUUUUUAUGAAAUAGGAUUUGAAUGUAAAUUUUUAUAAAUUUAAGUUUUGAUUUUUGCAAUUAAUUAUGUACAUAUCGCCCGUCACUCUCAUCUUUUAAAAUGAGAUAAGUCGUAACAAAGUAAUUUUAUUGGAAAAUGAAAUUGGAAUAAU
This 767-nucleotide non-coding RNA is filed under the name unidentified. The record is from RNAcentral.